RNAcentral lists this ribosomal RNA (494 nucleotides) under uncultured bacterium. RNAcentral's name for it is "bacterial SSU rRNA". It matches the Rfam family "Bacterial small subunit ribosomal RNA", at positions 29 to 538 of the family's 1533-position model. The record is from RNAcentral.
ACGAACGCUGGCGGCGUGCUUAACACAUGCAAGUCGAACGGUAAGGCCCUUUCGGGGGUACACGAGUGGCGAACGGGUGAGUAACACGUGAGUAACCUGCCCUUGACUCUGGGAUAACAGCCGGAAACGGUUGCUAAUACCGGAUAUUCAGCUUCUGCCGCAUGGUGGUUGUUGGAAAGCUUUUGUGGUCAAGGAUGGGCUCGCGGUCUAUCAGCUUGUUGGUGGGGUAGUGGCUCACCAAGGCUUCGACGGGUAGCCGGCCUGAGAGGGUGACCGGCCACAUUGGGACUGAGAUACGGCCCAAACUCCUACGGGAGGCAGCAGUGGGAAUAUUGCACAAUGGACGGAAGUCUGAUGCAGCAACGCCGCGUGCGGGAUGACGGCCUUCGGGUUGUAAACCGCUUUCAUCCAUGACGAAGCGAGAGUGACGGUAGUGGGAGAAGAAGCACCGGCUAACUACGUGCCAGCAGCCGCGGUGAUACGUAGGGUGCGAG